CUCCUUUCACUUAGCACAAUGUCUCCAAGGUUCACCCACGUUGCAGUGUGUAUCUGUACUUCAUUCCUUUUGAUCACUGAUGA
Non-coding RNA from Ceratotherium simum simum (southern white rhinoceros), 83 nucleotides. The record is from RefSeq and is a predicted model, not a curated record. Lineage: Eukaryota; Metazoa; Chordata; Mammalia; Perissodactyla; Rhinocerotidae.